This 253-nucleotide ribosomal RNA is filed under the name uncultured bacterium. RNAcentral's name for it is "partial 16S ribosomal RNA". It matches the Rfam family "Bacterial small subunit ribosomal RNA", at positions 524 to 776 of the family's 1533-position model. The record is from RNAcentral.
UACGUAGGGUGCAAGCGUUAAUCGGAAUUACUGGGCGUAAAGCGUGCGCAGGCGGUUUUGUAAGUCUGUCGUGAAAUCCCCGGGCUCAACCUGGGAAUGGCGAUGGAGACUGCAAGGCUGGAAUCUGGCAGAGGGGGGUAGAAUUCCACGUGUAGCAGUGAAAUGCGUAGAGAUGCGGAGGAACACCGAUGGCGAAGGCAGCCCCCUGGGCUAACACUGACGCUCAGGCACGAAAGCGUGGGGAGCAAACAGG